CGAGGGGAGUGAAAAAGAACCUGAAACCGUGUACGUACAAGCAGUGGGAGCACCUUUAUGGUGUGACUGCGUACCUUUUGUAUAAUGGGUCAGCGACUUAUAUUCUGUAGCAAGGUUAACCGAAUAGGGGAGCCGCAGGGAAACCGAGUCUUAACUGGGCGUCUUAGUUGCAGGGUAUAGACCCGAAACCCGGUGAUCUAGCCAUGGGCAGGUUGAAGGUUGGGUAACACUAACUGGAGGACCGAACCGACUAAUGUUGAAAAAUUAGCGGAUGACUUGUGGCUGGGGGUGAAAGGCCAAUCAAACCGGGAGAUAGCUGGUUCUCCCCGAAAGCUAUUUAGGUAGCGCCUCGUGAAUUCAUCUCCGGGGGUAGAGCACUGUUUCGGCUAGGGGGUCAUCCCGACUUACCAACCCGAUGCAAACUGCGAAUACCGGAGAAUGUUAUCACGGGAGACACACGGCGGGUGCUAACGUUCGUCGUGAAGAGGGAAACAACCCAGACCGCCGGCUAAGGUCCCAAAGUCAUAAUUAAGUGGGAAACGAAGUGGGAAGGCUCAGACAGCCAGGAUGUUGGCUUAGAAGCAGCCAUCAUUUAAAGAAAGCGUAAUAGCUCACUGGUCGAGUCGGCCUGCGCGGAAGAUGUAACGGGGCUAAAUUAUGCACCGAAGCCGCGGCAGCGAUAUGUAAAUAUUGUUGGGUAGGGGAGCGUUCUGUAAGCCUGUGAAGGUGACCUGUGAGGGUUGCUGGAGGUAUCAGAAGUGCGAAUGCUGACAUAAGUAACGAUAAUGCGGGUGAAAAACCCGCACGCCGGAAGACCAAGGGUUCCUGUCCAACGUUAAUCGGGGCAGGGUGAGUCGACCCCUAAGGCGAGGCUGAAAAGCGUAGUCGAUGGGCAACGGGUUAAUAUUCCCGUACUGGUGGUAACUGCGAAGGGGGGACGGAGAAAGCUAAAUCAUCCGGGCGACGGUUGUCCCGGUUUAAGCGUGCAGGUGGACUGACCAGGCAAAUCCGGUCGGUUGUUAACACUGAGGCGUGACGACGAGCCACUACGGUGGUGAAGUGAUUGAUGCUCUGCUUCCGGGAAAAGCCUCUAAGCUCCAGGUUACCAUUAAUCGUACCCCAAACCGACACAGGUGGUCAGGUAGAGAAUACUCAGGCGCUUGAGAGAACUCGGGUGAAGGAACUAGGCAAAAUGGUGCCGUAACU
RNAcentral lists this ribosomal RNA (1206 nucleotides) under Morganella morganii. RNAcentral describes it as "partial 23S ribosomal RNA". It matches the Rfam family "Bacterial large subunit ribosomal RNA", at positions 530 to 1735 of the family's 2925-position model. The record is from RNAcentral. Lineage: Bacteria; Pseudomonadati; Pseudomonadota; Gammaproteobacteria; Enterobacterales; Morganellaceae.